RNAcentral lists this ribosomal RNA (22 nucleotides) under Cylindrocladiella viticola. RNAcentral's name for it is "partial 28S ribosomal RNA". Lineage: Eukaryota; Fungi; Ascomycota; Sordariomycetes; Hypocreales; Nectriaceae. The record is from RNAcentral.
UUUGACCUCGAAUCAGGUAGGA